AGAGUUUGAUCCUGGCUCAGGAUGAACGCUGGCGGCGUGCUUAACACAUGCAAGUCGAACGGAGUUGAAGAGAGCUUGCUUUUUUCAACUUAGUGGCGGACGGGUGAGUAACGCGUGGGUAACCUGCCUUAUACUGGGGGAUAACACUUAGAAAUAGGUGCUAAUACCGCAUAAGCGCACAGUUCCGCAUGGAGCAGUGUGAAAAACUCCAGUGGUAUAAGAUGGAUCUGCGUCUGAUUAGCUAGUUGGUGGGGUAACGGCCUACCAAGGCGACGAUCAGUAGCCGGCCUGAGAGGGUGAACGGCCACAUUGGGACUGAGACACGGCCCAGACCCCUACGGGAGGCAGCAGUGAGGGAUGUUGCACAAUGGAGGGAACUCUGAUGCAGCGAUGCCGCGUGGAGGAAGAAGGUUUUCGGAUUGUAAACUCCUGUUUCGGGGGACGAGGAAGGACGGUACCCCGGGAGGAAGCUCCGGCUAACUACGUGCCAGCAGCCGCGGUAAUACGUAGGGAGCGAGCGUUGUCCGGAAUUACUGGGUGUAAAGGGAGCGCAGGCGGGACAGCAAGUCAGAUGUGAAAUGCACAGGCUCAACCUGUGAAUUGCAUUUGAAACUGCAGUUCUUGAGUGAAGUAGAGGUAAGCGGAAUUCCUGGUGUAGCGGUGAAAUGCGUAGAGAUCAGGAGGAACAUCGGUGGCGAAGGCGGCUUACUGGGCUUUAACUGACGCUGAGGCUCGAAAGCGUGGGGAGCAAACAGGAUUAGAUACCCUGGUAGUCCACGCUGUAAACGAUGAUGACUAGGUGUGGGGGGACUGACCCCUUCCGUGCCGGAGCAAACGCAAUAAGUCAUCCACCUGGGGAGUACGGCCGCAAGGUUGAAACUCAAAGGAAUUGACGGGGGCCCGCACAAGCAGUGGAGUAUGUGGUUUAAUUCGAUGCAACGCGAAGAACCUUACCAGGUCUUGACAUCGUGCGCAUAGCUGAGAGAUCAGUGAAGUCCUUUCGGGGACGCACAGACAGGUGGUGCAUGGUUGUCGUCAGCUCGUGUCGUGAGAUGUUGGGUUAAGUCCCGCAACGAGCGCAACCCUUGCCUUUAGUUGCCAUCAUUCAGUUGGGCACUCUAAUGGGACUGCCGUUGACAAAACGGAGGAAGGUGGGGACGACGUCAAAUCAUCAUGCCCCUUAUGACCUGGGCUACACACGUACUACAAUGGCAAUGAACAGAGGGGAGCAAGCGUGCGAGCGCAAGCAGAUCCCAAAAAAUUGUCCCAGUUCAGAUUGCAGGCUGCAACCCGCCUGCAUGAAGACGGAAUUGCUAGUAAUCGCAGAUCAGAAUGCUGCGGUGAAUACGUUCCCGGGCCUUGCACGCAAAGCCCGUCA
RNAcentral lists this ribosomal RNA (1378 nucleotides) under uncultured bacterium. RNAcentral describes it as "bacterial SSU rRNA". It matches the Rfam family "Bacterial small subunit ribosomal RNA". The record is from RNAcentral.